CAGCCGCCACGGUAAUACAGAGGAUGCAAGCGUUAUCCGGAAUGAUUGGGCGUAAAGCGCGUCUAGGUGGUUAUGUAAGUCUGAUGUGAAAAUGCAGGGCUCAACUCUGUAUAGCGUUGGAAACUGUGUAACUAGAGUACUGGAGAGGUAAGCGGAACUACAAGUGUAGAGGUGAAAUUCGUAGAUAUUUGUAGGAAUGCCGAUGGGGAAGCCAGCUUACUGGACAGAUACUGACGCUGAAGCGCGAAAGCGUGGGUAGCAAACAGGAUUAGAGACCCCUGUAGUCCCUGUCUCUUAUACA
Molecule: ribosomal RNA, 301 nt
Filed under: uncultured bacterium
Lineage: Bacteria
Description: partial 16S ribosomal RNA
Rfam family: Bacterial small subunit ribosomal RNA
Source: RNAcentral